Non-coding RNA from Aegilops tauschii subsp. strangulata, 1645 nucleotides. NCBI's taxonomy places the organism in Eukaryota, Viridiplantae, Streptophyta, Magnoliopsida, Poales, Poaceae. The record is from RefSeq and is a predicted model, not a curated record.
AACAAUUCCCCACUUCCUCUCCUCUGUCCAUCUCGUCCGCUCCAUGACCGCGCGCCGCCCUCCUCCACCUUCCUCACGCCGCCGCCGCCGCCGCCCUCCUCCACAUAAAUGGAUCCAUCGCCGCUCGCCGUCCUUCCUCUGACCUCCACCGCCACUCGUCUCUCACCUCCUUCACGGUACUCCGGGUCAAUCUGCGACAGCCACCGCCGUCCGCCUUCCAUCUCCCCCGCCGUCAGCCGCCGUUCUAUCUCCACCCCCGUUCGCCGUCGCGUCCCACCUCCCUCGGCUCACCGCGUACCACCCCACCCCCAACAGUACCGCCAUGUACGCGUUGCCUGCAACCCAUCCUCCCUGCUCCAGAUCCGGAUUAGUUCCUGUGGCGCAUCGAGCAAGCCACUGCCUCCUCCCCUGACGUGGCAACCGUCGCCUCCUCCUCUCCUUGUCCAAGCAAGCUGCUCCAUUCUGCUGUGUAGCACGAAUCUGAUGUAUCAUCGAAUCAUUGUUGAAGAUGCAGCCCACCUAUACAGUCUCUAGAUAUAGCAUCUUUUUACAAAUCAUUUUGGUGGUAUUGCUUCACAUCUUUAUAAAUCUUCGUGGUGGAAGGAAGCCAUAUAUCAUAGAUGCAGUGAAGAGCAAGGCAAAACCUAUCUCAGGUACCUCUCACACUUUGGUAAUUAUCUCACAAAUACUACGAUGUGUUGGUUGUGACCUUAUUAUUUGUUGAUGUAUUAUUUAUUUGACGAAUUUCUUAUUUACUAUGGGAAGUGUAAAGUGUUUUGGAAGUGUCCACCAUCCCAUCCCUGACACUAACCCAACCUCUUCUCAUAUGAAUCACCGCCACUAGUCCAGUCCUCUUGUCUUCUUCCGAACCCCGAUUCGGUCGCAGGUACCUUGUUGUCUAUAAUGUGCUGUCUAUCGGAUGUCUAGGACCACGAGGAGUAUAGACGCUUCCUUAUCAAGUUCUCGCAGGAACCAUUACAUGAUCUCCUGGCAAACAUAUGGUUACUGAUUUCUGCCCCAUAGUGCACUGUUAUAUUCAGAAUAGGUUCAUGUCCGAAUAAUCUUAGAAUCGACACAAGUGUCCUCUUAGAUUGUGUUUCUUACUCAACGAAGACUUGGAAAUAAUGCAUGGAAGCAAAGGCCAGAGAUAAUGCUCUGGAGCGAGCAACUAAACAUUGUAGGGCAACACUAAUUCAUCCCAUGUCAACUUGGAGGACAACACUACGGAUGACCACAUCGGUAAUGGCAACACUGGCGGUAGUAAUGAUGGUGAAACAUUUGUACAUCCGGAGGAGGAUCUCACUAGUCCUGCCCUUGGAACUAAUGAAUGACCAUCUUAUGGUAUUUUGGAUCUCUCUGGUGCUAGUACAUGCUCAUGAGCAAACUUACUAGCUGCUUAGUAUUUGACUGCAAUUUGAUGGAUGGGAAAUAUUUAAGUGAUAUGUAUGUACAUGAUGCUCCUGAUCAUGAACAUAGCUGACCUAGAAAUGUGUAUUUUGUUGGCAUUGCUCUGUGCAAUGUGAUGGAUGAGAAUCAGAUUGGUGUCCUGUAAUUGUUGUUCGGAAGCAAGUGCAUGUACAACUUUUCUUGUGUCAGUUUCUGGAUGUUGAAUCAUGGUUUAAUGCACUGAUAUGUGUUACGUAAA